RNAcentral lists this long non-coding RNA (1016 nucleotides) under Bos taurus (domestic cattle). RNAcentral describes it as "long non-coding RNA NONBTAT011440". The record is from RNAcentral. Lineage: Eukaryota; Metazoa; Chordata; Mammalia; Artiodactyla; Bovidae.
AAUAUAGCACAUUAAGAAAAGUAUUAAAUCCAGAGAAAAAUGUAGAGUAAUAAACAUAGAUGGGGAAGGAUAGAUACAUUUUUCUUACUCUAAUUUAUGCCUUACUGUUUUCUGCCACUUAACAAUUGUAUGCUGCCAUUUUAUAGUUUAUUAUGUUUGGGGGAAUUUAUUUAAAUGCAAAAAUAAACCCAGCGAAAAUGACUUUAAUCGGUGUUUCUAGCUAUCUUAAGAAAUUUUUGAAUCAGCCAGCUUUCACAGUCACCUAGGUGGCAGGUUAACUGUAUUGCACAGUGUAGUAUUGCAAAGUAAAGAUAAAUUUGAUUCCAUAAUUUCUCAUGUAAAGAGAUUGAACCUUGUGCUCAGACCAGAUAGAUAACAAGCAAUUAUUUCCUUCUGUGAUGGAAAAAGAUUUAUAGUGAAGCUUAUGGUUCCAUAACAGAAUGGUGACCCAUGUCAUCUAAAGUGUAUAUAUGGUAUAAAAUGUCUUAAAUGCGAUAGUCCCAGCUAUAUAAGCUCAAUAUUUCCAACCUACAUUUUCAAAUUCCACUUGGUAGCUUUACUGAAGUACUGAGAAUAACUCCUUUUAAGUUUUGUUUGCACCAUUUUUGUGACUAUUUUAAUGAAGUGGGGUGUUUUUCCUACUCGGACGAGUUAAUAUGGGUCCAUUUUUGAGUACUUUUAAUUGUUGACAAUCAGUAAGUCUCAUUUAAUUCUCUGCAUGUUCAUCUGUAAAUAAAAAUAUUAGUACGUAUCUUCAGUGGGUAGUACACUAUUUAUACAGACACUAGCAAGGAGGCUCUCUCCAUUUCUGAUCUUGGAAUUACAAAGUAAGUUUUAUGGUUUUGCUUUUUAAAAAUCAGUAUUUCAGUUACAUACUUGUUUUUUAGUUUAAAAAUGUUUAAUAAGUCAUGACAGUGGUCAGAAAAUCUACAACAAUUUUAGAGCAAUUUUUUCUAUACUAUGGCUAUGUAAACAGUCUGAACCUGAGACUUUUUAUCUUUCAAGUUGAAUGAUUA